RNAcentral lists this long non-coding RNA (1138 nucleotides) under Numida meleagris (helmeted guineafowl). RNAcentral's name for it is "lncRNA (ENSNMEG00000000992.1)". The record is from RNAcentral. Lineage: Eukaryota; Metazoa; Chordata; Aves; Galliformes; Numididae.
GCUGAAUGUAGCUCUGUUCAUCUUCCCCAGAGUAUAUUUAUUAUUAUUGUUUAUAUAUUGAACUUAAGCCCAAAAAGAGAACUUGUUUGCAAGUUUAACUACGCAGGAUGUGACUGUUACUUCCCUAUAAGCCACGUGACCUGGCUUUUUUUUUUUUUUUUAAUCUCUCCCCUCACUUCAGAAGAACUAAAUUCAGAAAAUUUGGCUGAAAUUGCUCUGUUGUCAAAACUUCACAAUGACCUCACUAACAAGCUGGAUACCAGUCCUAAUGACAUUUCUUCUUCUCUUACAUUUUUGGAGAGCAAAGGUCUAUGCUUCUGGAAACUCAGAGGAAAUAGAUUUCACGUAUCUUAUUAUAGGAGUUACUCUGGGAGCCUUUCUAGCAAUUGGUUUUAUAGUAGUAAUAAUUUGCAUGAUCAAAAAACAAAUGCUUGACCAUGUCUCCAGAGGUCAAACGUGGGAUCAAGCCAGAACAGAGAUGACACCAAUACACCAGAACAGCAAAUUACAGCCUUCUUACAGUGAAAGCAAGAAGAAGAAAGAAGGGCAACUGCUAGACUCAACUCCAGCUUGGAAAGUCUGUAUCUUAUGAAAAAGUGUGACUUGAAAAACUCAUGGAUACCAGGUGCCCCCUGUAAUAAUGUGUUAAUAAGUAAUUGACUUCCAGACUGUGAACAGCCACAAUCAGCCCCAGGUGUUAUAGGCAGAGCUGGUGCCCUGAGUCAGGGGUUUAGACUCAAAACGCUGUCAGAGCAGACAUAUCAAAAUUAUGAUUCUAUGAAGAAGAUAUUGUACUAAUUCUAAUUGAAACUGAAAUUAUUUGGAUGUAUUUUUGUUAUGCCCUUAGCAAGCCAGGUAAUUUUUCCGAAUGUACACAGGGAACCCUAUUACCUGGAUUGUAAUUUUUCUGCAUGUUUUGAACAAGAAAAUGUAAGGUUUAUUUCAGAGAAAAGUGAUCUAUUGGAAUAAUUUCCCUGGAUUCCCUAGGUGUCUGUUACCCACUUCAGUACCAGUGCAGUUCAUUAGUAGCAUUUGCUAAUGGAUAAACUAAAGCAGUAAUGUGAUACUUGCAAGUAAUUGUGCGUGUGUACAUGUGUAAGUGAAUAAACCAUCUUGUAAGGUAUCCGUUAAUUGAUUU